GAUGAACGCUGGCGGCGUGCCUAAUACAUGCAAGUCGAGCGAACAGACGAGGAGCUUGCUCCUCUGACGUUAGCGGCGGACGGGUGAGUAACACGUGGAUAACCUACCUAUAAGACUGGGAUAACUUCGGGAAACCGGAGCUAAUACCGGAUAAUAUAUUGAACCGCAUGGUUCAAUAGUGAAAGACGGUUUUGCUGUCACUUAUAGAUGGAUCCGCGCCGCAUUAGCUAGUUGGUAAGGUAACGGCUUACCAAGGCAACGAUGCGUAGCCGACCUGAGAGGGUGAUCGGCCACACUGGAACUGAGACACGGUCCAGACUCCUACGGGAGGCAGCAGUAGGGAAUCUUCCGAAAUGGGCGAAAGCCUGGCGGAGCAACGACGCGUGAGUGAUGAAGGUCUUCGGAUCGUAAAACUCUGUUAUUAGGGAAGAACAAAUGUGUAAGUAACUAUGCACGUCUUGACGGUACCUAAUCAGAAAGCCACGGCUAACUACGUG
This 497-nucleotide ribosomal RNA is filed under the name uncultured bacterium. RNAcentral's name for it is "partial 16S ribosomal RNA". It matches the Rfam family "Bacterial small subunit ribosomal RNA", at positions 28 to 507 of the family's 1533-position model. The record is from RNAcentral.